This 301-nucleotide ribosomal RNA is filed under the name uncultured bacterium. RNAcentral's name for it is "partial 16S ribosomal RNA". It matches the Rfam family "Bacterial small subunit ribosomal RNA", at positions 509 to 807 of the family's 1533-position model. The record is from RNAcentral.
CAGCCGCCGCGGGAAUACGAAGGGUGCAAGCGUUACUCGGAAUUACUGGGCGUAAAGCGUGCGCAGGUGGUGGUUUAAGUCCGUUGUGAAAGCCCUGGGCUCAACCUGGGAAUUGCAGUGGAUACUGGGUCACUAGAGUGUGGUAGAGGAUAGUGGAAUUUCCGGUGUAGCAGUGAAAUGCGUAGAGAUCGGAAGGAACAUCUGUGGCGAAGGCGACUAUCUGGGCCAACACUGACACUGAGGCACGAAAGCGUGGGGAGCAAACAGGAUUAGAUACCCCCGUAGUCCCUGUCUCUUAUAC